GCCGGCGGGAGCCCCAGGGAG
This 21-nucleotide microRNA is filed under the name Mus musculus (house mouse). RNAcentral's name for it is "mmu-miR-2137". Lineage: Eukaryota; Metazoa; Chordata; Mammalia; Rodentia; Muridae. The record is from miRBase by way of RNAcentral.